CCGCCGCUUUGCCCAGGGGGCGCAAGGAGCUCUUCCUGGUGUUCACCAUGGCCCCGGGGAGGGGGACACGGGGGGGCCCCGCCGCCGCCGCCGCCGCCGCUGUUGCUGCCGCUGCCGCCGGCGCGGAGGGAGGAGGGAGGGCGGACAGGCGGGGGCUCGGGCAGGGAGGGGAAGGGAAGGGGAGGGGGAAGAAGGAGAAGUCCUCUGGGGACGCCGCUCCGCCGGGCAGAGACACCAGACAGAACCGCGCCGACUCCUCCCGCCGCUGCCGCCGCCUCCUCGGCUCAGCCCCGCACUAGCCGGCCGCCAUUACUGCCCCUUCUCCCUUUCUCUCCUCUCCGCGCCGCCACCCCGGCUGUUGCCGCGGGGGGGCGCUGCGGCGCCGCCGCCGCCGCGCGCAGGGCCGAGGCGGCCCCCGCUGCGUACGUUCUAGCACGGCGCCGGCGCCGCUCUAUGGGCCUGGCGCGAGCCGGGGGCACGGCGGGGGGGGGCGAGAGGCGGCCGAUCCAACAGUCACGUUACAGAGGGCCAAAGAUUUGUAUCUAUUACACUACGUCGGAUGCCUGAGCGCUUUUCAAACUGUUCACAAACACUGACGUGCAGCAAGAAAUCCUCCUUGUGCCACCAGCUGCUGGCCUUCAUUGAACUGAGACACAACGCAUUUAUUAGAAAAGAAGAUGAAUGUAACCAAAACUUAUACUGAGAAGAGGCGAGGACAUCUGCUGUGGCAGGUACACCACUGACAAAUUGGAAGACCAUGAAAAAGUGCUUGAGAAGAAUCCCUUUUGCUCAACGAGACUUGGGGAAUUAAGUCUUACUGGGACUCGGUGACAUAAAAAGACAUUAAAAGAUGAGCCAGGAUAAAGAAGAAUGGAAAUCCUUGUUUAUUCCAUAAGUAAGAUUUAAUGUCAUGGGAAAUACUUGGAGAUGGAAGAUUCUGUUGCCACCUGUUCCUGUUUUAUAAGGAAAUCAGGAACACAUGAUAACAAAAGAAAAAGUGCUUCAUCAUUUAUUAGAACUUUUGUAGAGACUUUCAUCCCAGUAGGGACCAGAGGGCUUUUUUCAGUGAAAUCCUAUUUGCUUCAAUCAUAGGCAAUUUAUCAGAGAUUACUUUGUAAUAUCUCUGAAUAGCUGUAACAUUCCAAAGAAUGGAAAUUAAAUCAUCUUUUCAGGACUCUACUUAUAAGCUCUUGUGUGCUUCUUUCUGUCAUGCUGUCAACUCAUCCUGGUUUCAGCUGAAUCUCAAAAUAAAUAGAUUCAGAAGAGAUUAUGCUUUUGUACGUGUGCUCUAUGUCCUUUCUUGAAAGAAUUUUAGGAAAUUGAGAUGGAAUGGCUUCUCUCUUGAGAACUGUCCACUGUGCAAAUAGGCCCUUGGGAAACAUCAAACGAGGGCAUGCUAGCCCGGAUUGGUCCCACCUUACACCUGAACACACAAAGUAAGUCCCUCCACAUUGCACGUGCUUUGCAGUGAUAUUAAAGUGACCCAUUCUUAAUAAUAACGUUUUAGAAAUUAACUUUGAAUGUUCGGUUCUAAUGUUCAGCUGAAUAUUGCUUUCCAAACUACGAUAGGUAACAUAACUGCAGCUUGAAGUGGUAUCAGAGAGCAGAUUUCUUACAUGACGUUAAAUAGGAGUGAUAAGAACUGCCUCCUGAUAUUUCAAAAUUAG
Molecule: long non-coding RNA, 1667 nt
Filed under: Gallus gallus (chicken)
Lineage: Eukaryota; Metazoa; Chordata; Aves; Galliformes; Phasianidae
Source: RNAcentral